GUCACUUCAAAUUGAUUGUGUCCUCCCACCCACCAACACUCUCAUCCUAUCGCUCCUCCCCACCCCACACUCCACAUUUCUACUUCACCUCCAUCUCCCGUAAUAUUUAUCUAAAUUACAUACAACAUUUAAAAUAUUUUUUUUUUACCUAGGUACCUAACACACAAAGAAAAAGUAUUGUCAAAAGAACAUUUUUCAAUAUAACAUUUUCCUUGGUACUGAAUCACACACACUUAGG
Molecule: long non-coding RNA, 238 nt
Filed under: Capsicum annuum
Lineage: Eukaryota; Viridiplantae; Streptophyta; Magnoliopsida; Solanales; Solanaceae
Description: long non-coding RNA (CANN_LNC002877)
Source: RNAcentral